GAGAAAAUAGUUUAAUUUAAAACACUUUAUUGAAAAUAAAGAAGAUGGGGGUUUCCUUUUCUCU
Molecule: transfer RNA, 64 nt
Filed under: Brachidontes mutabilis
Lineage: Eukaryota; Metazoa; Mollusca; Bivalvia; Mytilida; Mytilidae
Description: tRNA-Phe
Source: RNAcentral